GUUUGCUUGGAAGCAGGUCAAGACGGCCCCUAACCACGACGGCCCUCCAAGACGGCCCUCCCCCACGGCCCCGUGUUUACCAGGACGGCCCCGUGUGUUUACCAGGACGGCCCCGUGUUUACCAGGACGGCCCCAUUUUGGCCUAAUGAUGAUGAUUUCUACUUUCAUCCUCAUCGGGGCUAGCGAGACCAACCUGGGGCUGUACUCUGGACUGACGCUGUAUGCCAUAGAUGUAAACAAAGCGGUGGUUUCCUUCCAGCUAGUGAUAAAACUUUCUCUCGCUCUCCCUCGCUCUCCCUCACUCUCCCACAUCACGGAAGCAGUAAAAUAAAGCACACGAGGAGGAAGUGAGAGGAUAAUGAAUUUUGGAUGUUUGCGAUACGUCAGAAGGUUACACCCAUUUCUUGUCCAGAUGUUGAAGAACGUGCGGAGAAGCAAGGUGGCAUUCGGCAGUCUGAUCCUGGACCUGGUCGGCUUGACGGUGGUGGUGCCUCUGUCUCUUGCUUUCUUUGACUGUUACUCCAAGCACGACUCCAGCGGCUUGUAUUCCUCUGUGCUCUCCUGUGUGACUUAUUACCAGCAUAUCAUCGGCAUCCCUGCGAGGUUCCACUCUGUCUUGUUUUGGUGGUAUGUGGGUGUGUUGUGUUUUUUAUUGGUUUGUAUAUUUCUAGUUUGUUUUUAUUAUUAUUUUUUUCAAUUUUUUUUAUCCUGUUAUCUAUUUAUUUAUCUUUGUUUGUUUGUUUGUUUGUUUGUUUGUAGGGUGUGUGUGUGUGUGUGUUUGUUUGUGUUCCUGCUGUUCUAUAUUGCAGCUUGUUUUCUUGUUUUUGUUUUUUUGUUAUUGUUAUUUUGUGUUUUAUUCCCUUUCAUUGUUCUGAGGAUGUUUUCAGGUAUUUUUGGGGUGUUUUUGGGUGUUUUUGGGGUGUUUUUGGAUGUUUUUUGUGGUGUUUUGGUGUAUUUUGAGGGUGUUUUGGUGUGUUUUUGUAGUGUUUUGGGGUAUUUCAAGGGUGUUUUAGUGUGUUUUUGGAGUUUUUUGGGGUGUUUUGGGGUAUUUUAAGGGUGUUUUAGUGUGUUUUUGGAGUGUUUUGGGGUGUUUUGGUAUAUUUUGAGGGUGUUUUAGUGUGUUUUUGGAGUGUUUUGGGGUGUUUUGGUGUAUUUUGAGGGUGUUUUAGUGUGUUUUUGGAGUGUUUUGGGAUGCUUUGGUGUGUUUUGGGAUGUUUUUGGGUGUUUUUGGGUAUUUUAAGGGUGUUUUGGUGUGUUUUUGGAGUGUUUUGGGAUGUUUUGGUGUGUUUUGAGGGUGUUUUGGUGCAUUUUUGGAGUGUUUUGGGAUGUUUUGGUGUGUUUUGAGGGUGUUUUGGUGUGUUUUUGGAGUGUUUUGGGGUGUUUUGGUGUAUUUUGAGGGUGUUUUGGUGUGUUUUUGGAGUGUUUCAGGAUGCUUUGGUGUGUUUUGGGAUGUUUUUGGGUGUUUUUGGAGUGUUUUGGGAUGUUUUGGUGUAUUUUGGGGUAUUUUGAGGGUGUUUAAAGGUGUUGUGGUGGUAUUAAAUUUAUUGUUUGUUUACUUUUUUUAGCUUUUUAUUUUCUUGUGCAUUAUUUUAUUUCUUAUUUAUAUUGUGGUGUGUUGCCGGUGUGCCCUAACCUAACCGAGAGGCAGAGGCACACAACCCGAGAAGAGCGGAGGCAAGCCUCGGGUACCGAGAGGCAGAGGCACACAACCCGAGAGGAGCGGAGGCAAGCCUCGGGUUCCGAGAGGCAGAGGCACACAACCCGAGAGGAGCGGAGGCAAGCCUCGGGUUCCGAGAGGCAGAGGCACACAACCCGAGAGGAGCGGAGGCAAGACUCGGUUUGCUUCAUCUUCAUAUCUCCCCCCCCCCCCCCCGCAAAUUUUAACAUUCAUUAAACAUUUUCAAAUAUUUUUUGCAAACGUCAUGAAAUAAACCUCAAUAUUAAAAACACAUCAUUCCAUUAUCAAUUUCAUUUUUUUUUUUUCUUUUUUUUUUUUUACUGCAAAUGAGCCAUAUUGAGCAGCUUCAAAUACGCUUCCUUUACACCUUAUAGAAACCUUGAUUUAAGCUUCUGCUUUAAGGAUACUUAUCUAAUCUUACUUAAUGGCUUUAAAACUGGAAAUAUGGAAAGAUAAAAUAUAUUUCAUCUUUACUUCGUAAUUACAUUGCAACAUAAUUAUGAAUUUUCCCAUGAAAUUAUUAUUAUUAUUUUUUUUUUUAUGAAUGAAGGACACUGGCCAAGGGCAACAAAAAUCCAAUAAAAAAAAAAAAAAUGCCCACUGAAAUGCCAGUCCCACAAAAGGGUCAAAGCAGUGGUCAAAAAUUGAUGAACAAGUGUCUUGAAACCUCCCUCUUCAAGGAAUACAAGUCAUAGGAAGGUGGAAAUACAGAAGCAGGCAGGGAGUUCCAGAGUUUACCAGAGAAAGGGAUGAAUGAUUGAGAAUACUGGUUAACUAUUGCGAUAGAGAGGUGGACAGAAUAGGGGUGAGAGAAAGAAGAAAGUCUUGUGCAGCGAGAGGGGAGGCAUGCAGUUAACAAGAUCAGAAGAGCAGUUAGCAUGGAAAUAGCGGUAGAAGACAGCUAGAUAUGCAACAUUGCGGCGGUGAGAGAGAGGCUGAAGACAGUCAGUUAGAGGACAGGAGUUGAUGAGACGAAAAGCUUUUGAUUCCACCCUGUCUAGAAGAGCAGUAUGAGUGGAACUCCCCAGACAUGUGAAGCAUACUCCAUACAUGGACGGAUAAGGCCCUUGUACAGAGUUAGCAGCUGGGGGGGGGUGAGAAAAACUGGCGGAGACGUCUCAGAACACCUAACUUCAUAGAAGCUGUUUUAGCUAGAGAUGAGAUGUGAAGUUUCCAGUUCAGAUUAUAAGUAAAGGACAGACCGAGGAUAUUCAGUGUAGAAGAGGGGGACAGCUGAGUGUCAUUGAAGAAGAGGAGAUAGUUGUCUGGAAGGUUGUGUCGAGCUGAUAGAUGGAGGAAUUGAGUUUUUGAGGCAUUGAACAAUACCAAGUUUGCUCUGCCCCAAUCAGAAAUUUUAGAAAGAUCAGAAGUCAAGCGUUCUGUGGCUUCCCUGCGUGAUAUGUUUACCUCCUGAAGGGUUGGACGUCUAUGAAAAGACAUGGAAAAGUGCAGGGUGGUAUCAUCAGCGUAGGAGUGGAUAGGACAAGAAGUUUGGUUUAGAUCAUUAAUGAAUAAUAAGAAGAGAGUGGGUGACAGGACAGAACCCUGAGGAACACCACUGUUAAUAGAUUUUAGGAGAAGAACAGUGACCGUCUACCACAGCAGCAAUAGAACGGUCAGAAAGGAAACUUGAGAUGAAGUUACAGAGAGAAGGACCGUAGGAGGGUAGUUUGGAAAUCAAAGCUUUGUGCCAGACUCUAUCAAAAGCUUUUGAUAUGUCCAAAACAACAGCAAAAAUUUCACCAAAAUCUCUAAAAGAGGAUGACCAAGACUCAGUAAGGAAAGCCAGAAGAUCACCAGUAGAGCGGCCUUGACGGAACCCAUACUGGCGAUCAGAUAGAAGGUUGUGAAGUGAUAGAUGUUUAAGAAUCUUCCUAUUGGAUAUAUUAUUAUUUGUACGUGGUGUACGAUAUGUUUUCCCGGCGGCAAGCCAAGCACUGCUUGUCGCCAGGAGUGUAUCCUCAGUUCCGGACCGAGCCCAAUAAAGGAGAGACGUGUGU
Scylla paramamosain (green mud crab) is the source of this 3678-nucleotide long non-coding RNA. RefSeq lists it as uncharacterized. The record is from RefSeq and is a predicted model, not a curated record. The transcript is spliced from 4 exons. Lineage: Eukaryota; Metazoa; Arthropoda; Malacostraca; Decapoda; Portunidae.